RNAcentral lists this ribosomal RNA (476 nucleotides) under uncultured bacterium. RNAcentral's name for it is "bacterial SSU rRNA". It matches the Rfam family "Bacterial small subunit ribosomal RNA", at positions 28 to 487 of the family's 1533-position model. The record is from RNAcentral.
GAUGAACGCUGGCGGCAUGCCUAAUACAUGCAAGUCGAACGAGAGGAAGGAAAGCUUGCUUUUCUGAAUCUAGUGGCGAACGGGUGAGUAACACGUAGGUAACCUGCCCAUGUGCCCGGGAUAACUUCUGGAAACGGAUGCUAAAACCGGAUAGGUAGCAGACAAGCAUUUGACUGCUAUUAAAGUGGCUAAGGCCAUGAACAUGGAUGGACCUGCGGUGCAUUAGCUAGUUGGUGAGGUAACGGCCCACCAAGGCGACGAUGCAUAGCCGGCCUGAGAGGGCGGACGGCCACAUUGGGACUGAGACACGGCCCAAACUCCUACGGGAGGCAGCAGUAGGGAAUUUUCGUCAAUGGGGGGAACCCUGAACGAGCAAUGCCGCGUGAGUGAAGAAGGUCUUCGGAUCGUAAAGCUCUGUUGUAAGAGAAAAACGACAUUCAUAGGGAAUGAUGAGUGAGUGAUGGUAUCUUACCAGA